Brassica oleracea var. oleracea is the source of this 840-nucleotide long non-coding RNA. RefSeq lists it as uncharacterized. NCBI's taxonomy places the organism in Eukaryota, Viridiplantae, Streptophyta, Magnoliopsida, Brassicales, Brassicaceae. The transcript has 3 exons. The record is from RefSeq and is a predicted model, not a curated record.
ACAAGAAGUAGGAAGACAAAAACUCUCUCCUCAUCUUGGGCCACGGAAGUUCAAUCAAGAUCUCCUUAAAUUGGAUCGAAUUCAAAACGUUGGAAUGAAAUGGGGGGCUUAAGCUGAGCUUCCAUGGAAGCUUCUAGGUAGACCGCAGGGUUCUUACCAUAUAGCUUAAAAGUACAAUUUUCUCUUCCUGCUCUUAAUUAACCAGUGGUUAUAAUGAAUUUUCUAACCGGCGCGGUUAAAGCAGUGGGGUUAAACCGGCAAGUCAUGGAACGGCUGAUAGGCUCGAUCCUCUUCGAACCUACCAAGGUUUCCAAUGUUCAAGUCAUCAAAUAAACGAAGAAAUCGAGAUAUUAAUGGGAAAGGAAGGUCUGACGCCAAAUUCAAUGGAUCAAGAAAGUUACAGUGAAUUUAGGGAUAACAUUUUACGUUAAAGAGUUGACCCAAGACUUUUUGUCGGAAAGUAUGGAUGAAACCAGGUCUUGAAGUUAAGGACAUGCACAAUGUUCCAAGAGUGUGUUUAGGGAGAGAUCUAAGCUCAAGAAAAUAUAUUGCAUAAGUUAUGUGAAAAACGUGAUUCAUCUCGUUAGUGGAGGGAUUAAUAUUUAUAGAGGUUACCAAACACAUAAAAUCGAAAAUUAUCUUGUAAGGAUGAAUAUAUAUAAGUUUCAAAACCAAAAUAGCUUUAAGUCCCAAGACAAGAAAGACAUCAAUGCGGGAAACAAAACACAAAUGAAACUACUGUACUCAACGGUGAAUGGUCGAGGAAAGCUGCAAAACUGAGAGUAAGAACGACAUCAGUCUGAAAAGCGAAAGUUAGCACAGUCUUUUUCAAGACCGAGU